GAUGAACGCUGGCGGCGUGCCUAAUACAUGCAAGUCGAGCGAACGGACGAGAAGCUUUCUUCUCUGAUGUUAUCGGCGGACGGGUGAGUAACUCGUGGAUAACCUACCUAUACGACUGGGAUAACUUCGGGAAACCGUAGCUAAUACCGGAUAAUAUUUUGAACCUCAUUGUUCAAGAGUUAAAGUCGGUCUUGCUGUCACUUAUAGAUGGAUCCGCGCUGCAUUAGCUAGUUGGUAAGGUAACGGCUUACCAAGGCAACGAUGCAUAGCCGACCUGAGAGGGUGGACGGACACACGGGAACUGAGACACGGUACAGACACCUACACGAAGAAGCAGUAGGGAAUCUUACGCAAGGGGCGAAAGCGUGACGGAGCAAAACCGGGUGAGUGAUGAAGGUCUUCGGAUCGGAAAACUAUGUUAGUAGGGAAGAACAUAUGUGUAAGUAACUGUGAACAUAUUGACGGUACCUAAUCAAAAAGCCACGGCUAACUACGUG
Molecule: ribosomal RNA, 497 nt
Filed under: uncultured bacterium
Lineage: Bacteria
Description: partial 16S ribosomal RNA
Rfam family: Bacterial small subunit ribosomal RNA
Source: RNAcentral